CAAAAGAUUUUUACAGGGUCAUUGAACUUUAAAAACCAUUUGAUUCAUCACUGAACUAUGCAAAAGGUUUCCAUGAGGUCACUGAACUUUGAAAAUCACCAAAUUCAUCACUGAACUUUGCAAAAGGGUUCGAGUGCUCACUAAAUUUAGCUACCUCUCAUAAACCUUUUGUAAAGUUCAAUGACCCUGUGAAAAUCUUUUGU
This 203-nucleotide microRNA precursor is filed under the name Olea europaea subsp. europaea. Lineage: Eukaryota; Viridiplantae; Streptophyta; Magnoliopsida; Lamiales; Oleaceae. The record is from RNAcentral.